CAGCAGGAUUUAGACUACAACAUGGCUGUCAGUGCUGUGUUGUCGUUCCCCCUGCUGAAAACAAAGUGUUUCUUUACUAUACCUGUCUGCUUUAUCCUGUGGCAGCCAGGGACGCUUGGUCUCAUACAU
Erinaceus europaeus (western European hedgehog) is the source of this 129-nucleotide small nucleolar RNA. Its record names the gene SNORA63. It matches the Rfam family "Small nucleolar RNA SNORA63". Rfam says of the family: E3 belongs to the H/ACA class of snoRNAs and is involved in the processing of eukaryotic pre-rRNA and has regions of complementarity to 18S rRNA. Lineage: Eukaryota; Metazoa; Chordata; Mammalia; Eulipotyphla; Erinaceidae. The record is from Ensembl.